This 253-nucleotide ribosomal RNA is filed under the name uncultured bacterium. Its description in RNAcentral is "partial 16S ribosomal RNA". It matches the Rfam family "Bacterial small subunit ribosomal RNA", at positions 524 to 776 of the family's 1533-position model. The record is from RNAcentral.
UACGAAGGGGGCUAGCGUUGUUCGGAAUUACUGGGCGUAAAGCGCACGUAGGCGGAUACUUAAGUCAGGGGUGAAAUCCCGGGGCUCAACCCCGGAACUGCCUUUGAUACUGGGUAGCUAGAAUCUUGGAGAGGUCAGUGGAAUUCCGAGUGUAGAGGUGAAAUUCGUAGAUAUUCGGAAGAACACCAGUGGCGAAGGCGACUGACUGGACAAGUAUUGACGCUGAGGUACGAAAGCGUGGGGAGCAAACCGG